UCUCUCUCUCUCUCUCUCUCUUUCUUUCUCUUCAUUCUAAGUUUUCUUUCCCUCAAUUCCAAGAGCAUAAUUAGCUCUUCUUCCCUAAACAGGCAUGCAAACCAACGUGUGGAAAGCCUCCACCGAAUUUCUGCAAAGAUGUCAAGUUCAAGUUUCAAUGGCAGUAGCUUAGAUCGAUUGACAUACGUCAACAAAAAUUGUUGUAGAUGUAAUAAAAAAGCCACUAUUUGAAUUUCUAAGACCGAUCGAAACAAAAACAAGUUAUUCUACUCUUGCAAUGAUUAUGGUUGUUUUGUUGAAUGGUGCUUGCCUAUGAAUUCAAAUGUAAAGGUCACGUAAUUCCAAGAGAAGAAGUGCUAAUUGUCGGCGAAGAACUUCGAUGUAUGACCGAACAACUUCUAUCUAUGACCGAACAACAAAGAGCUAUGACGGAAGAACUUCGAAUUUAGAGCGCAAAGAUGCAAAAAAAAAAAUGUGUUGUUCGUGUUGCUUGUAAUUGGUGCCUUAUCACUUAUGAAGAUGUAAUAAUAUGUAUAUACAUAUAUAUAUAUAUAUAUAUAUAUGUAAGUUAGAAGUAAAAGUAAAUGUACACUUUUAGAGCAAGUUAUCUUUUGUUGUGUAUUCACUUUCUUUGAACUUGAGUGGAAUGGAACUGUGAAUUCACUUUGAUGUGUGAAUGGAACUAUGUUGUUUUGUAGCGUA
Non-coding RNA from Camellia sinensis, 702 nucleotides. The record is from RefSeq and is a predicted model, not a curated record. NCBI's taxonomy places the organism in Eukaryota, Viridiplantae, Streptophyta, Magnoliopsida, Ericales, Theaceae.